This 282-nucleotide unclassified non-coding RNA is filed under the name Glomus sp. RNAcentral's name for it is "partial contains 5.8S ribosomal RNA and internal transcribed spacer 2". Lineage: Eukaryota; Fungi; Glomeromycota; Glomeromycetes; Glomerales; Glomeraceae. The record is from RNAcentral.
GUGAAUCAUCAAAUUUUUGAACGCAAAUUGCACUCUCCUCGGAGAGUAUGCGUGUUUGAGGUCCAGCCUAUAAAAUAUCGUCAUCGUUGCUGUUUCGUGGUGGCGUUUGUCUGUUAUUGGGUCAUCUUAAAUCAUUUUGCUUUAAGUGACUUAAAAUUUUCUUUUGGUUCUAUGAACGUUGCUAAGAUCUAUGUCUUUAAACGUUUAAGGUAUCGAUUUUUACUACACGUGACCAUCAUAUGGUAUCGCGUCCAUCAUCUUGGAUUAACUGACGUCAGUCAG